CUCUUCCUCCCUUUCUUCCUCCUCCUCUUCCCCUUCCUCCUCCUCCUCCUCCUCCUCCUUCUUCUUCUUCCAGGGUCUCACUAAGUUCCUGGCCGCAAACCUGUGUGUCUCCUGCCUCAGCUUCCCAAGUAGCUGGGAUUAUGGGUGUGUGCCACUGAGCCUGGCCAGGAUGGUUCUUUUGAAGACUUUUGAUGUCAAGAGAAGUGAGAAACGAGUGAAAGGGGCUAUGGGGUCAAAAGAGAAGUCCUCUCUCAGAGUUCUCACCUCCUGUCCGCAUCACAGGACCAAAGCUGCACCUUGACUUUAGGCCCAUGGCAAUGUUUCUGUGUGGUUUACUAGAGACAGAGCCUCACCAGAGAAACCUGCCAAGCCAUGGCUGGCCGCCGUUCUGUGAGCAGGAAAUAGAACUGCAAUGUCCCCUGGGAGAGAAUAAUGGGGGGACAUAGGGAACUCCGAGAAGCUCAGCAGAAAUGGCUUUCAUGCUAAACCUGGAGGGUCGGCAGCCAGGUCACAGAGGGAGGAGCACAGGACGGGCCCGGGGUGGGAACAAAGGUGGUAGCAUCCACACACGGCUGCUGCUGCUGAUUUUCUCUCCAAGUGGAGCAGGCAGCCGUGUGGGAAGCAAAGCCUCCUGUCCGUCUAAUACGGUUGAAAGGGAAGAAAGACAUGAGGCUUCUUCGAGGAGGGGAGGAGGGACAGGUUGUGUCUCAGCCUGGGCUCCCCUAAAGCAGCCCAGCCAAGGAACUGAGCUGGGAAUAGUUUACCUCCUGCCGAGGAGGGCUUGUGGGAGCUGGACUGAGAUAAGGACAGAAGGAGUGUGAGGAGGUGGGGUUGCCAUAAAGUUACCCUCUGGGAAGUGGACUCAGCCGCCUGGAGCCCCAGAUGCCAGCCAGGGGCACAGUGGGGUCCUGGCACCCUGAGCGACCCCCGGCCUGAUGCACACUGCCGGCAGGGAGAGGCAGCCCCAGCAGCUGGAGGAGCCUGGGCACUGAUGCAGGGCUGGCAGAGGAAGGCAGCCAGCUUGCGCAGCCUUGCUUUCUUCAUCUGCUCCCAACUUGGAGAAUGUUGGGGUCUUCAGACAAACCACACGUCACCCCAGCCCAUGGUAGACAGCACUAACUGGGGACUGUUUCCAUCGGGGCUGUCGUCUACUCUGAAACCAGGGCCGGAUAAGCUGAUAUCACCCAGUUCCUCCUGCUCUGAUCUACCUCUCAGGGCUCCUCCAGCCUCUCAUCAGCUGUGGUUUUUCUUCGGCUGAAGCCACAUCCAGAGGGACCUCAGGGGCUGCCUGAUUCCCCUUCAGACUGCAGAGCCCACAGCCCAUGCUGUUGUUCCAAGGUAGGAGAGAGGAAGUAAAGACAGGUAGGAAGGAGACAAGGAAAAUCAUGAUUUAAAAAAAUUGUACUUUUAAGAAAACUGCCACUUCCAGGCUCUGGGGAAAGUUAUCGAGGUGCUCCACAUUGGCACUCUCUUGGUUAAAAUACACUUCUCUCCUUGCAGACCCGCCCCCGCCCUCCCAGAUUCCUUAAGGGUUCUGUAAGUCCAUAAAUCAGCUUAGUCCAGGAAGUAAACUGUGCAAACCUGAUCUGAAGAUAAAGGGACUCCUUGAGAGAAUUCCAAGAAUGCCUAAAUAAUCCAUCUAAAAACUCAGGGCCCUUACUGUCAAAGGGGCCAUUUUCCUGCUGGGGGAUGAACCGACUUUCCCAAAGGUUUCCACCCCUUCAAGAGAAACAUAAAUGUUCCCAGCUCCAGAAGAAAGUGUGCUUCUCACUUGAGGGCCUGCAUUCUACUUCUUUAAGUGUGUACUUUUGAAAUUCUUCCUCAUAAAUCCCUUUCAGGCUCUUACUGACUGGGCCUGAAAAUUCUUUUUCCACAAAGGGAGUCACAAGCUUAUUCAAUGGGGGGAAGAGAGGGCAGCAUCCUCCUUUCUGCUUUGGGACCCUGCAGGGACCCUGCCAGGGACUUGUUCUCUUGGUGAGCCAGCAGCGGGAUGUAAAGAGGCACCAGGACUAGGACUUGAUUUUUUUUUUUUGGUACUGCGGAUCAAACUCGGGACCUUGCACUUGCAAGGCAGGUGGUGGAACCACUGAGCUAAAUCCCUGGCUCUCCAUUGUUAAUGCUUUUGAUUCUUUAAGAAACCAAGUUUUGCCAGGCAUGAUGAUGCACACCUGUAAUCCCAGCACUCUGGAGGCUAAGACAAGAGGAUUACUUGAAGUUCAAGGCUAGCUGGGGCUACAUAGCUAGUGAGGGCCCGUCAAGAAAGACAGAAAGAAAGAAAGAAAGAAAGAAAGAAAGAAAGAAAGAAAGAAAGAAAGAAAGAAAGAAAGAAA
Molecule: long non-coding RNA, 2330 nt
Organism: Heterocephalus glaber (naked mole-rat)
Lineage: Eukaryota; Metazoa; Chordata; Mammalia; Rodentia; Bathyergidae
Source: RefSeq, a predicted model, not a curated record